GACGAACGCUGGCGGCGUGCUUAACACAUGCAAGUCGAACGGAAAGGCCCUGCUUUUGUGGGGCGCUCGAGUGGCGAACGGGUGAGUAACACGUGAGUAACCUGCCCUUGACUUUGGGAUAACUCUAGGAAACUGGGGCUAAUACCGGAUAGGAGCUCCUGCUGCAUGGUGGGGGUUGGAAAGUUUCGGCGGUUGGGGAUGGACUCGCGGCUUAUGAGCUUGUUGGUGGGGUAGUGGCUUACCAAGGCUUUGACGGAUAGCCGGCCUGGGAGGGUGACCGGCCACAUUGGGACUGAGAUACGGCGCAGAAUCCUACGGGAGGCAGCAGUGGAGAAUAUUGCACAAUGAGCGGAAGCCUGUUGCAGCGACGCCGGGUGCGGGAUGACGGCCUUCGAGUGUUGAACAGCUUUCGACUGUAACGAAGCGUGAGUGACGGUAAUGGGUAAAGAAGCACCGGCUAACUACGUG
Molecule: ribosomal RNA, 468 nt
Filed under: uncultured bacterium
Lineage: Bacteria
Description: partial 16S ribosomal RNA
Rfam family: Bacterial small subunit ribosomal RNA
Source: RNAcentral